Lacerta agilis (Sand lizard) is the source of this 88-nucleotide long non-coding RNA. RefSeq lists it as uncharacterized. The transcript has 3 exons. NCBI's taxonomy places the organism in Eukaryota, Metazoa, Chordata, Lepidosauria, Squamata, Lacertidae. The record is from RefSeq and is a predicted model, not a curated record.
GAACUUGCCUGUCCCAACUGACAGCCUUUUACAGAACUUGCCUGUCCCAACUGACAGCCUUUUACAGAACUUGCCUGUCCCAACUAAC